Molecule: long non-coding RNA, 1015 nt
Organism: Lingula anatina
Lineage: Eukaryota; Metazoa; Brachiopoda; Lingulata; Lingulida; Lingulidae
Source: RefSeq, a predicted model, not a curated record
GAACACAGUUCAUUUUAUUUGGUCCAUUUUUUUUCCAGUUGUGUGUUCUUGGCUUGGUUCCUUUUUUUAUGGGUCACAAAAUGAAAACAAAUGACUAUUCUGUACCAAGAAAUGCUAUCAGCUUAAUUAAUUGCUCUGUUUUGCUUUCAAACAAUAUUUUUGAUUGUACUGAUUUCACAACUUUGCUCUAGGUCUCUCCCCUUGCCGAGAUAGGCACACUGUGAGAGCAAUGAACAGACAAACUGUUCAAAUGAUGUAUGCACAGGCAUGAUAAGAAUAUGGAGGUUGCAUUCCAGACUGUGUGACAAGAAUACAUAUAUGCUUGUUAACAACUAAGGCAAAACCAGUCAUGAAGAUUAUACAAGACAUCUUUUGCCUCAUUCUGAAGUUUCGUACCCAGUUAGUGUCAUAUCCAUGGCAACGUGACCCGGAAAGUGGCUCCCUCUACCACCCUGCACAAAGUCACAUGGUGCACAGUUACGAACAGUUCAAGGAGUUCUCUACUUUCCUCUUCAAAGUUGUAAACAAGCUGGCAUUGCGUGGGUACCAACAACAUCUACAGGAGCUGCUUUUAAGGUUAAACUUCAACAACUACUAUAAAGGAGAUGGACAGUCUUCACUACCCAGAACAUGAUUCAGUUGUCUUUAUUUAUUUAUUUAUUCAAAAUAAAACAAUUCAAAUUAGGUUGGCCAUUCAAAAACAUUAUUCAGCAGGAACCAAUUCUGACAAAACGUAGAUGCAAAAACUGCCUUCAAGAUUGGACGCUCAGAAGAAUGCAGCUUUUUUCUUUUUUUGUAUAAUUGAAUUGAAACAACAUGAUAUAUUAAAAUUAAAUAAAGUCUGGAAUGACAAGACGCAUAUUCAGUAGGAACCAGUAUUAAUAUACCUAUUGUAAAGUAGGGAGAAAUAGAAAUUGAUAACCUAAAGGGAUAAUAACGCUUCAUUUUGGCAAAAAAAAUGAAUUUUCCCAUACUUACCAGUGGUUAAUGAAUCCAUUUUUACAUUCAAAGUUAG